UUGCUUUGGCAGCACAUGUACUAAAAUUGGAAUGACAGAAGAUUAGCAUGGCCCCUGCAUAAGGAUGACACACAAAUUUGUGAAGUGUUCCAUAUUUUU
RNAcentral lists this small nuclear RNA (99 nucleotides) under Sciurus vulgaris (Eurasian red squirrel). The record is from RNAcentral. Lineage: Eukaryota; Metazoa; Chordata; Mammalia; Rodentia; Sciuridae.